Molecule: transfer RNA, 73 nt
Filed under: Ailuropoda melanoleuca (giant panda)
Lineage: Eukaryota; Metazoa; Chordata; Mammalia; Carnivora; Ursidae
Rfam family: tRNA
About the family: Transfer RNA (tRNA) molecules are approximately 80 nucleotides in length. Their secondary structure includes four short double-helical elements and three loops (D, anti-codon, and T loops). Further hydrogen bonds mediate the characteristic L-shaped molecular structure. tRNAs have two regions of fundamental functional importance: the anti-codon, which is responsible for specific mRNA codon recognition, and the 3' end, to which the tRNAs corresponding amino acid is attached (by aminoacyl-tRNA synthetases). tRNAs cope with the degeneracy of the genetic code in two manners: having more than one tRNA (with a specific anti-codon) for a particular amino acid; and 'wobble' base-pairing, i.e. permitting non-standard base-pairing at the 3rd anti-codon position.
Source: Rfam by way of RNAcentral
ACCUGACUGGCUCAGUUGGUGGAGCGCGAGACUCUUGAUCUCCAGGUCAUGAGUUGGAGCCCCAUGCUGGGUG